UACAGAGGUCCCGAGCGUUGUUCGGAUUCAUUGGGCGUAAAGGGUGCGUAGGCGGUUUGUCACGUCGGAUGUGAAAUCCCGGGGCUUAACCUCGGGUCUGCAUUCGAUACGGGCUGACUAGAGUUCGGUAGGGGAGACUGGAAUUCCUGGUGUAGCGGUGAAAUGCGCAGAUAUCAGGAGGAACACCGAUGGCGAAGGCAGGUCUCUGGGCAUUAACUGACGCUGAGGAGCGAAAGCAUGGGGAGCGAACAGG
This 253-nucleotide ribosomal RNA is filed under the name uncultured bacterium. RNAcentral's name for it is "partial 16S ribosomal RNA". It matches the Rfam family "Bacterial small subunit ribosomal RNA", at positions 524 to 776 of the family's 1533-position model. The record is from RNAcentral.